AUGCAGCAGAGGAUGAUGAUGAUGGCCAGGGCCAGGAGAGCUCCCUCUGUGUAGCCCACAGCCUGGGCCGCCUUCUUCACGCUGGCCACCACAUCAGGAGACCGGAUCUCCAGGAUGCGGCCACCCUCGCCCAGGUGAACAAAUGAGUGGAGAUGAAGGGUAUUAAAUGGCAUCUCUGGCAAUCUAUCCUCCAGAGAGCCCAAAUGGUACAGAAUGCCGCAUUCAAGGUGGUGUAAGGACAGAUGCAUGAAAGAAUCAACUCAUUUCGCCUCAAUUGCUCACAAAUUCUCCUGCAACAUUGAUGAGGACACAGCACUGCUACUAUAUUUCAAUGAGUCUGUAUUUAAUCUACAGUGCAACACAGGCCUACAUGUUGCACAUGCUAAGCCAACAGCUUUCU
Long non-coding RNA from Acanthopagrus latus (yellowfin seabream), 400 nucleotides. RefSeq lists it as uncharacterized. NCBI's taxonomy places the organism in Eukaryota, Metazoa, Chordata, Actinopteri, Spariformes, Sparidae. The transcript is spliced from 3 exons. The record is from RefSeq and is a predicted model, not a curated record.